ACUGCUUCCUGUAAAUGUACAAUAUUCAUUUGAAAUACUUUGUUCCUGCUGUCAUUUGAUCUUACCUCUCAUUUUCCCUUUCUUUCAGUUUCUCUCUCAAGCUGUAAAUUUUAUUUUACUUUGUUAUACUUAGACAGGCUGUUUGAUAUCCUUGCUGAAGACACAUGACUAAGAUGAGCCUGUAUAUUUAGGGGGAUGUUUUCUUUUCAGCCUUUUUAUGUUUUAAAGUUUCCUCUGGUAUAAUUUCUGAAAUAGCAAUUCUCAUAGUUAUCCAUGUAUUCAUUUAUUUAUUCACCCAAAAUGCCCUGCAGUGGGCCAGGACCUGGCGGAUAUGAAAUACAAAAAUUAGAGGUACACAAAACAAAACCCUGGCUUUAAAAAUCUCCUCUACAUGGCCAGUGACCAAUAACUGAACAAAAUCAAGUGUGGAAUUGGAUGCAAGCAGGAAAGGAGACUGAAGUGUAGGGAUUUGAGAAACUGAAAUGCUUGCCAAGGCCAAGGUAGCAGUGGAAAUAAAUACACCUCCACUGGCCAUUUGUUCAUGGGAACAACUGCUUGUUAAAUGGUGAAGUAAUUUUCAGGGUUGAUUGGGAGAAUUUAUACCAGGAGAAAGAAGGAAAAAAAGGUUAUAACUUCAUUUCGUAGUUUGGGUUAUUCUUUCUUGGGCUUGGUGUGGUCAGUAUAAAGCAGAGCAACUAUUUUCUAGUUUCCGCUGUGCACUUCAUGUAUACUAGACACUGU
Molecule: long non-coding RNA, 741 nt
Filed under: Homo sapiens (human)
Lineage: Eukaryota; Metazoa; Chordata; Mammalia; Primates; Hominidae
Description: HSALNT0075444
Source: RNAcentral